Molecule: ribosomal RNA, 440 nt
Filed under: uncultured bacterium
Lineage: Bacteria
Description: bacterial SSU rRNA
Rfam family: Bacterial small subunit ribosomal RNA
Source: RNAcentral
CCUACGGGGGGCUGCAGUGGGGAAUAUUGCACAAUGGGGGAAACCCUGAUGCAGCAACGCCGCGUGAGCGAAGAAGGCCUUCGGGUCGUAAAGCUCUGUCCUAAGGGAAGAAGCAUGACGGUACCUUAGGAGGAAGCCCCGGCUAACUACGUGCCAGCAGCCGCGGUAAUACGUAGGGGGCGAGCGUUAUCCGGAAUCACUGGGCGUAAAGGGUGCGUAGGCGGCCAAUUAAGCCAGAGGUGAAAGGCUACGGCUCAACCGUAGUAAGCCUUUGGAACUGAAUGGCUGGAGUGCAGGAGAGGAGGGUAGAAUUCCCAGUGUAGAGGUGAAGUGCGGAGAUAUUAGGAGGAACACCAGUGGAGAAGGGGACGUUCUGGACUGUAACUGACGCUGCGGCCCGAAAGCGUGGGGAGCAAACCGGAUUAGAUACCCGAUUAGUC